AUCCCACAAUGCCCAGCGUCUGCCAGCUGCAGCCCCUCUUUCUCUCCCACAAUUACCUGACCUCUGUCCUGCAGCCCCAAGAGGUACGAGGCUGCACCCCUGGCAGGGCCGGCGAGCACGUCGAAGUGCACAUAAUAAGGCUGACGUCAGCAGGGUCUGGAAUCUGUGGGUGAGCCGCUGGAUCCAUCUUGCAGAAGAAACGCACUGCUUGUUGGGCGUGUGAGAACACAGAAAGUUAGUAAAAAUUAAAUCAUCUCUCACCAGGAGGACCACAGACAAUACAGACCGUAUGCCAUUACGGGUUAUUCUUCCACUCUCCGUAUUUAUGUUCUUUGUAUUUUUUUUUCCUCUAGAUGUCUUGUGUGUGGUAUUUAACUUGAGUGCGUGACUCCUUCCCACCCGCCUCCUGUCAGCUCGCUGCAGGUGGAGGUGCCUGUCUCGGUGCUGCCCCCUACAGCCAACGCCGGCUGGUACGAGCUGGUGUUGAUCCUCAGCAGCGCAGUCCCUGUGAACUGGGCCCUGAGUGCCAGCGGCCUGCAGGGUCACAUCUCUGUCUAUUCCUCCAACACAGUGUCUCCACUUUACCCUUCAGAGCCUGAUCUGACCAUGACCAGCACGCUUAACCCAAACCUCCACGUGACCCGUGACCUGGUGGCCUGGGCCAAGCAGCAGGGCUUCCCUGCGGCGACCUCGUACACGGAGGCCGACCUGGCCAAUCGCUUUGUGAUCCGGCUGGCGAGGGCAGAACCAGGUCAGAACCAGGUCAGAAAACACGGCUGCCCGCGAGUCGUAGGUUGUGAGGUCUGCACGGCGCAACGCUUCUCGCUUCUCUUGGUGUACAGGCCGUGUUCCCUCCAUGCACUCCCUGGCUGCAUGGUCUGGGGCAGGGCAAGGGUGGGGGCAGGACAGCAGGCUGAGGCAAUGGCUGAGACAACAAGGGAGUACCGCGUACGCCGGGGUUGCGGUCAGCGAGGCAGCGAGCGCACAGUGUCACGACGGGCAGCUCAGCGUGGCCGUCGACGCCGGUGUCCUGCAGCUUCUGCCUUCUGCGGUAUCCGGCGUAACGCUGCGUGACCCCCGAUGCCAGGCGCAGUUCAACGGCACCCACUUCCUGUUGGUGUUCCCAGUGAUUUCCUGUGGGACAGACAUUGUGCUAGAGGGACAGCCGAGAGGGGUGCGGUACAAAAACAUGGUGCUGGUAUGGAAGGAGAGGUCCUUGGACCCAGACCACAAAGACCACAAUGGGAAAGGAGAGGAGCAAAUCCCACUGAUUAUACAGAUCAGCUGUUUUGCUUUGGUGCCCCGCCCCUCCAGCAGCCCCCUAGGGCUGCGGCCCCCACCUCAGGGAGCCAGGGGCCUUUGGGCCCAGCAAGGGGCAAGAGGACCAGGUGUAUUGGAUGGCCCGACAUCAACGCCGCUCCUGUCCCUGCAGCUCUUUGUGACAGAGGCUUACAAGCAGAGGGAGACGGGACCCUGUGUCAUCGCCGCCAAGAGUCGGCUCUACGUGGAGGUAUCUGCAAAGGGCACUGUGACCGGGGCUGUUGAGGUCUGGUCCUGUGUGGUUUCACCCCUGUCAGACCCCCAGGCAGCUCCAGGCUGGACAGUCAUCCAGGAUGGCUGUUCUUAUGACCCCACGUUGACACUGAUUACAAUGCGCCAAAACAGAGAGAGAGGGGGGAGGAACAAUGGCACAAGCACCCACAGCAGUGAGAGGACACAGGAAGCCGAGCUGGAUGUAGCAGGACGCGGGACGAGAGACAAGGGUGAAAGAGAGCCAGCGGGCACGGGAAAUAAGGAAAGGCGAAGAAAGACGAGAAAGAAAGGAGGCAAAGCAGAGGAGGUAGAAGAUCCGGAAAAGGGGGCGGAGGGGGGAGAAGAGAUGGCCCGACCUCCUCGGCGCCUACGGUUCAGUUUCGUGUUGCGGCCUGUCUAUAACAACUCCAUUCAGUUCCUGCACUGCAGGCUCCGGCACUGCGAUGCAGACUCCGCCCCCACCUCCAACAGCACUCCUCCCCCACCCACUGGAGCCGCUCCACUCACUGGCUGCCAAGAAGGCCUUCGCAUCCCAGCCCUCAUUUCUCCACCCAACCCCAGCUACAAAAAGUGCUACUACAGGACUCUGUUCAGACCCAUGGUGGUGACUGAGCCUGUGGCAGUGUCCCGUUCCCUUGUACCUUCUGCUGGUCAGACUGCCUUCAGGCCCAGAAUGAUGUCGCAUUCUAAGCCAAGUCCUCAAGGUGGCGGUCCUGGAUUUGACACCGGCUCCGUGGUGGGGAUUGUAUUUGCCGCUUUCUUGAUGGGAAUCAGUGUUAUGGGGGCCCUCUGGUGCAUCUACAGCCACACAGGGAUCGCUGGGAUGGCUCCGGUUCCGAGAAGAAGCAGCCCGAUGGACACCGCAGAGCAAACGUCAACCUCUAACAGCCCCGUAUUGCUGGAACAGUCCAGCAGCACGGUGUAGAGGGAAAAAAGGAGGGAAAGGAACAGAAGACGCAACAUCUCAGUUUGAGAGUGUGUGAGAGAGCGAGUGCGUGACCGAGUGAGGGAGGAAGAUGACGUGGUCGCCGUUAGUUGUUUAACCUCUGCCUCCAGCAUGUUCAUCUCCCUCCCAAGUGUGAAAGCCCAUGUUUAGAAUGCAGCUAUGGUAGUAAGUUACAAGCUAUUGCUCAAACUUGCCUGACAGCUGGAGACUCUGGAAGAAGGUGAAUAAACCCAAGAGUACUGCACA
Scleropages formosus (Asian bonytongue) is the source of this 2725-nucleotide long non-coding RNA. The record is from Ensembl. Lineage: Eukaryota; Metazoa; Chordata; Actinopteri; Osteoglossiformes; Osteoglossidae.